UACGAAGGGGGCGAGCGUUGUUCGGAUUUACUGGGCGUAAAGGGCGCGCAGGCGGCUCAUUUUGUCAGGCGUGAAAGCCCCGGGCUUAACCUGGGAAUUGCGCUCGAAACUACUUUGCUGGAGUGUGGCAGAGGAAGGUGGAAUUCCACGUGUAGCGGUGAAAUGCGUAGAGAUGUGGAGGAACACCAAUGGCGAAGGCAGCCUUCUGGGCCAACACUGACGCUCAUGCACGAAAGCGUGGGGAGCAAACAGG
RNAcentral lists this ribosomal RNA (253 nucleotides) under uncultured bacterium. RNAcentral's name for it is "partial 16S ribosomal RNA". It matches the Rfam family "Bacterial small subunit ribosomal RNA", at positions 524 to 776 of the family's 1533-position model. The record is from RNAcentral.